Molecule: ribosomal RNA, 751 nt
Filed under: uncultured bacterium
Lineage: Bacteria
Description: bacterial SSU rRNA
Rfam family: Bacterial small subunit ribosomal RNA
Source: RNAcentral
AACGCUGGCGGCAGGCCUAACACAUGCAAGUCGAACGGUAACAGGAUUAGCUUGCUAAUCGCUGACGAGUGGCGGACGGGUGAGUAAUGCUUGGGAACUUGCCUUCAGGAGGGGGAUAACAGUUGGAAACGACUGCUAAUACCGCAUAAUGUCUUUGGACCAAAGCGGGCNUUCGGCUCGCACCUGAAGAGAGGCCCAAGUGAGAUUAGCUAGUUGGUAAGGUAAAGGCUUACCAAGGCGACGAUCUCUAGCUGUUCUGAGAGGAAGAUCAGCCACACUGGGACUGAGACACGGCCCAGACUCCUACGGGAGGCAGCAGUGGGGAAUAUUGCACAAUGGGGGAAACCCUGAUGCAGCCAUGCCGCGUGUGUGAAGAAGGCCUUCGGGUUGUAAAGCACUUUCAGUUGUGAGGAAAGGUUGGUAGUUAAUACCUGCCAGCUGUGACGUUAACAACAGAAGAAGCACCGGCUAACUCCGUGCCAGCAGCCGCGGUAAUACGGAGGGUGCGAGCGUUAAUCGGAAUUACUGGGCGUAAAGCGCACGCAGGCGGUUUGUUAAGCUAGAUGUGAAAGCCCCGGGCUCAACCUGGGAUGGUCAUUUAGAACUGGCAGACUAGAGUCUUGGAGAGGGGAGUGGAAUUCCAGGUGUAGCGGUGAAAUGCGUAGAUAUCUGGAGGAACAUCAGUGGCGAAGGCGGCUCCCUGGCCAAAGACUGACGCUCAUGUGCGAAAGUGUGGGUAGCGAACAGGAUU